Long non-coding RNA from Neoarius graeffei (lesser salmon catfish), 2334 nucleotides. RefSeq lists it as uncharacterized. The record is from RefSeq and is a predicted model, not a curated record. The transcript has 15 exons. Lineage: Eukaryota; Metazoa; Chordata; Actinopteri; Siluriformes; Ariidae.
UAAAUGCUCGCGUGCCCUUUCCUCCGGCCUCAUUCCAUCAUGGCGGGUGCUGGAGGGUCCUGGAUUCAGCAGAUCCGGCUGGUGUGGGGAGGCCCACUCCUACCUGUUUGGAGGUGAAACGUUGCGAGAUGGCGAGCCAACUUGAUGCUUCAGGUGAUUCAGGACAGCAAUUUAUUUCAGAUGUUGAGGACUGCAACACUGAGGUGUCCUUUUGAAUUUCGACUCGAUUCAGUUGAUCAACUCGGAAGUGAUGACGCACCAGAUCCACAUGCUCCAAAAAGGCAGUACAGGGCUUGCUGUGAACAUGCUGGACAGGGGAAACAACUUGAAAAUGUAUCCCCAACAAAAAGGCAGUUCAGGCGUCACAGUGCACAGGCAGCCUGGCCAGCUCAGUCAUGGAACAGACACUGAUGUGGCUCCACCAGAGAUGCCUUUUCAUCCAGCAUGAGCACCUGGAGUUCAGCAGACACCUGUGCUCCUCUGGACUUGUUCAAACUUGGUUUUUUUUUUCUGAAGACAUGGUCUUGAUGUCCGAACACAAGCAGGCUGCCAAGAAUGUUGUAAACGGGUACAAGUGGACUGCUGUUGAUCAGUGAAAUUCUACAAGUAGAUCGGACUAACUUUCUACACGGCGAUGGUGAAGCUGGACCCCAUCAGGGAUGACUGGUGGUAGAACAGCAUUUGCUCAGUUCCAUUCUCAGCAACAGUGAUGUCAAGGGAUGGAUACAGGAGCACUUCCUGGAAUGUUCACAUGCGUGAUCCAGAUGAGGGCCAAGACAAUGAUGACAACCAGGGAACACCCAGAAUACGGCUGCUUGUUCCAAGUGAAACCUCUCAUGGACGUUAUUCGGAAUGCAAGCAAAACCUUUUAUCCUUGGAGGAACCUUGUGGUGGAUGAAAGGAUGGUGGCAACCAAGCCCAACACGGGCUUGAUUCAUAACAUGAAGGCAAAGCCAAUGAAGUGGGGCUUCAAGUUGUAUUUUGCAGUGUACAUGGGGAAAACCAGCUUUCACACUGGCCAAGGACUUUCAUAUGAUUCUGUAAUGUCACCUUAUGCCUUGUUCAUACCUGGGUUCAGGAUAUCGUCAUGUCUACAUGGACAGUUUUUAUACAAGCCCAAAGCUCUUCAGAGACUUGCAUGCACAAAACCUUGCUGCUUGUGGGAUGUACUGGGACAGCAGGUCCACGCAGUGCAUGUACGGUGUUGAGUAAGAGGUCAGACGCAGUCGUUCAGGUGGAUUAGGGAGGGUCCUCUGGUUUUUGUGGAGUGGAUGGACAUGCAAGAGGUCCCUUUCUGCUCCACUAUACAUGCAGCCUUCACUGGGGACACAAUCCAGCAGAUGAUGAAUCCAAAACAUGGUGCCUGGGUAACCAAGACCUUCCCAUUGCCCUCACCUUACUUUUACAGAAUCUCCUCAAGUGACCAAAAUGGUUCAUUACAAUGGACCCCAGAGGAUUGGACCCCCCCCCCGUCUCUCGUGCAGGUGCUGAAUUCAGCAGAUCUGGCUGUUCACUUGGAAAGAAUGGACUGCUACAAAUUGAGGCAUGUGCUCUUGAAGGCCUGUGAGCAGGAUUGGUCAGCUGGUGGGAUUUUUAGUCCCCUUCAUUAUGAUCUGUAGAUUUCUUAACUUGAGUCUUGGGCAGUUUGCUCACACUCUUCUGACGUCAACGUGUCUGGAGAUUUAUGCUGCAUUUUAUAUACAGGAUGACUUGGCUGGUUCCCCCAAGAUGUUGGAUUGAUAAAAUGAGGGGGCUGCUAUAGCACACGUGUGGCCCAGUGAAGCUGGCUGAAUGUGAUGAAGCCACCAAGGAACCUAUGCAAAGCAUCUAGGUGGUGUAGGUGAUCAUGACCUUUGGAUGUCAUCACUCCAGGGUGGCUGCUUGUAACUUUUUUGAAUGGUGAGUUUUAAUAUGUGCUUAUCUAUUUAAUGUAGUUGACCACUGGGAUGAUUAAUAUCCAUUGACUUUCCCAUGGAGAUUGGAUAUUAGCUCUGUCUGAUAUGGUCACCUUGGAUAGCCUUUAGACAUCAUGGGGUAAUCUCUGUUCUAACAGGAAUUAUACUUGACAGGUGAAGCUGUUGGGCAUCCUGUAACCUUAGUGCCCUGUUAAUGCAAACCACUGUCUUGCCAGAAUGAGUUGCAGUCCAUUGGAUAGUGGAGACUGGCAGUGUUCAGUGGCAUUCAACCCAGGCUUUGGUAUGAGCUCAUCAGACAAUCAGGAUCUGGGAGUUCUGAAGUUAUCCAGUUGACCUGAGGUCAUUAUUGGGGUGUGGGUUUUUGCCCCCCCCCCCACCCCACAAAAAAUGUCUGGAAAUAAAGCUUGUUUCAAACUGA